RNAcentral lists this ribosomal RNA (517 nucleotides) under uncultured Klugiella sp. RNAcentral describes it as "bacterial SSU rRNA". It matches the Rfam family "Bacterial small subunit ribosomal RNA", at positions 518 to 1035 of the family's 1533-position model. The record is from RNAcentral. Lineage: Bacteria; Bacillati; Actinomycetota; Actinomycetes; Micrococcales; Microbacteriaceae.
CGGUAAUACGUAGGGUGCAAGCGUUGUCCGGAAUUAUUGGGCGUAAAGAGCUCGUAGGCGGUUGGUCGCGUCUGCUGUGAAAACCCGAGGCUCAACCUCGGGCCUGCAGUGGGUACGGGCCAACUAGAGUGCGGUAGGGGAGAUCGGAAUUCCUGGUGUAGCGGUGGAAUGCGCAGAUAUCAGGAGGAACACCAAUGGCGAAGGCAGAUCUCUGGGCCGUAACUGACGCUGAGGAGCGAAAGCGUGGGGAGCGAACAGGAUUAGAUACCCUGGUAGUCCACGCCGUAAACGGUGGGAACUAGUUGUAGGGGCCAUUCCACGGCUUCUGUGACGAAGCUAACGCAUUAAGUUCCCCGCCUGGGGAGUACGGCCGCAAGGCUAAAACUCAAAGGAAUUGACGGGGGCCCGCACAAGCGGCGGAGCAUGCGGAUUAAUUCGAUGCAACGCGAAGAACCUUACCAAGGCUUGACAUAUACAGGAAACGUGCAGAGAUGUACGCCCCGCAAGGUCUGUAUAC